RNAcentral lists this ribosomal RNA (529 nucleotides) under uncultured bacterium. RNAcentral's name for it is "bacterial SSU rRNA". It matches the Rfam family "Bacterial small subunit ribosomal RNA", at positions 8 to 526 of the family's 1533-position model. The record is from RNAcentral.
AGAGUUUGAUCAUGGCUCAGAUUGAACGCUGGCGGCAGGCCUAACACAUGCAAGUCGAACGGUAGCACAGAGGAGCUUGCUCCUUGGGUGACGAGCGGCGGACGGGUGAGUAAUGUAUGGGGAUCUGCCCGAUAGAGGGGGAUAACUACUGGAAACGGUAGCUAAUACCGCAUAACGUCGCAAGACCAAAGUGGGGGACCUUCGGGCCUCACACCAUCGGAUGUGCCCAGAUGGGAUUAGCUAGUAGGUGGGGUAACGGCUCACCUAGGCGACGAUCCCUAGCUGGGCUGAGAGGAUGACCAGCCACACUGGAACUGAGACACGGUCCAGACUCCUACGGGAGGCAGCAGUGGGGAAUAUUGCACAAUGGGCGCAAGCCUGAUGCAGCCAUGCCGCGUGUAUGAAGAAGGCCUUCGGGUUGUAAAGUACUUUCAGCGGGGAGGAAGGCGUUGUGGUUAAUAACCGCAGCGAUUGACGUUACUCGCAGAAGAAGCACCGGCUAACUCCGUGCCAGCCGCCGCGGUAAUAC